CCUACGGGCGGCAGCAGUGAGGAAUAUUGGUCAAUGGGCGCGAGCCUGAACCAGCCACGUAGCGUGAAGGAUGACUGCCCUACGUGUUGUAAGCUUCUUUUAUAAAGGAAUAAAGUGAGGCACGUGUGCCUUUUUGUAUGUACUUUAUGAAUCAGGAACGGCUAACUCCGUGCCAGCAGCCGCGGUAAUACGGAGGGUCCGAGCGUUAUCCGGAUUUAUUGGGUUUAAAGGGAGCGUAGAUGGGUUGUUAAGUCAGUUGUGAAAGUUUGCGGCUCAACCGUAAAAUUGCAGUUGAUACUGGCAGGCUUGAGUACAGUUGAGGUAGGUGGAAUUCGUGGUGUAGCGGUGAAAUGCUUAGAUAUUACGAAGAACUCCGAUUGCGAAGGCAGCUUACUAAACUGCCACUGACGUUGAUGCUCGAAAGUGUGGGUAUCAAACAGGAUUAGAUACCCCGGUAGUC
Molecule: ribosomal RNA, 460 nt
Filed under: uncultured bacterium
Lineage: Bacteria
Description: partial 16S ribosomal RNA
Rfam family: Bacterial small subunit ribosomal RNA
Source: RNAcentral